AUUGAACGCUGGCGGCAGGCCUAACACAUGCAAGUCGAACGAGUGGCGGACGGGUGAGUAAUGUCUGGGAAACUGCCUGAUGGAGGGGGAUAACUACUGGAAACGGUAGCUAAUCACGCAUACCAUCGGAUGUGCCCAGAUGGGAUUAGCUAGUAGGUGGGGUAAAGGGUCACGUAGGCGACGAUGCCUAGCUGGUCUGAGCGGAUGACCGGCCGCACUGGAACUGAGUCACGGUCCAGACUCCUACGGGAGGCAGCAGUGGGGAAUAUUGCACAAUGGGCGCAUGCCUGAUGGAGCCAUGCCGCGUGUAUGAAUAAUGCCUGCGGGUUGUAAAGUACUUACAGCCGGGCGGCGGUAGUCGCAGAAGAAGCGCCGGCUAACUCCGUGCCAGCAGCCGCGGUAAUAC
Molecule: ribosomal RNA, 406 nt
Filed under: uncultured bacterium
Lineage: Bacteria
Description: partial 16S ribosomal RNA
Rfam family: Bacterial small subunit ribosomal RNA
Source: RNAcentral